This 363-nucleotide ribosomal RNA is filed under the name Triticum aestivum (bread wheat). RNAcentral's name for it is "partial small subunit ribosomal RNA". The record is from RNAcentral. Lineage: Eukaryota; Viridiplantae; Streptophyta; Magnoliopsida; Poales; Poaceae.
AUGACGCAUCAGCGAAAGCCUCAGGAGAUGCUUCAGGACUUUCAUCCUUUGCAGGACUCACAUCUUCUGCACCAUCAAAGUUAUACCGGGACCGUGAAAACCGCCACUCAGAAUUUUCUAUCCCGACCCCCAGACAAACUUAAGCUGUCAUUUCCAAGCUGCAGCUACUUUUUUUCAGCAACUUUAUCUCUUCAUCUUUGUAAGCAAGAUGCUGAACUAUUUCAUCCAACAGAUGGGCGCUCUAAAUUGAUGAUGCAGUGGUUCUGCUCGAUCCCCCGAAGGCUUCUGUGGCACACAACAACUUUGAUGUGCAUUUUACCAGACAGUUUUAAUCAAAAUACUAUCCGGCUUUAUUCAUUAUAA